Long non-coding RNA from Scylla paramamosain (green mud crab), 432 nucleotides. RefSeq lists it as uncharacterized. The transcript is spliced from 3 exons. The record is from RefSeq and is a predicted model, not a curated record. Lineage: Eukaryota; Metazoa; Arthropoda; Malacostraca; Decapoda; Portunidae.
GAUAGACGUUCACUGUCAUUUGUUAAUAUUGCUAGCCAGUGGAGGGAGGUAAAGAGAACAGUGCCAGUGUUCAGCAGAAAAAAAAAAAAAAAGUCACCGUGGGAUAUUAAGCAGCAGCAAUGUUUAAGAUGCAUUAUACAAAGAGAUUUCAUGUGUUUAUUAAGGAAGCCGCCGAACUGUACCCACCUCCAACGCCCAGUGAAUCUCCACACUAAUCAGAAGGGAGGAUGACAAUGAGGACUGCAGGAAGACAGGACCACACCACCAAGGACCACUGAGGGAAGACCAGAGCAUCAUCUUAAACUUCUAGGAAGGUUGGAAGGUUGGAGGAGGACCCACAAUGCUGCAGUCUUGGGGACAUCCAAGGAAGAGAACACAUUGAGGGAUGCCAGGUUGAAGAUCACUGCCCUUGAAAUUGCACAUGGAAACCAA